AUUGAACGCUGGCGGAAUGCUUUACACAUGCAAGUCGAACGGCAGCACGGACUUCGGUCUGGUGGCGAGUGGCGAACGGGUGAGUAAUAUAUCGGAACGUGCCCAGUCGUGGGGGAUAACGUAGUGAAAAUUACGCUAAUACCGCAUACGAUCUACGGAUGAAAGCGGGGGAUCGCAAGACCUCGCGCGAUUGGAGCGGCCGAUAUCAGAUUAGGUAGUUGGUGAGGUAAAGGCUCACCAAGCCGACGAUCUGUAGCUGGUCUGAGAGGACGACCAGCCACACUGGGACUGAGACACGGCCCAGACUCCUACGGGAGGCAGCAGUGGGGAAUUUUGGACAAUGGACGCAAGUCUGAUCCAGCCAUUCCGCGUGCAGGACGAAGGCCUUCGGGUUGUAAACUGCUUUUGUACAGAACGAAAAGGUCUCUACUAAUACUAGGGGCUCAUGACGGUACUGUAAGAAUAAGCACCGGCUAACUACGUGCCAGCAGCCGCAGUAA
Molecule: ribosomal RNA, 500 nt
Filed under: uncultured bacterium
Lineage: Bacteria
Description: partial 16S ribosomal RNA
Rfam family: Bacterial small subunit ribosomal RNA
Source: RNAcentral